This 253-nucleotide ribosomal RNA is filed under the name uncultured bacterium. RNAcentral's name for it is "partial 16S ribosomal RNA". It matches the Rfam family "Bacterial small subunit ribosomal RNA", at positions 524 to 776 of the family's 1533-position model. The record is from RNAcentral.
UACGUAGGGUGCGAGCGUUAAUCGGAAUUACUGGGCGUAAAGCGUGCGCAGGCGGUUUUGUAAGCCAGAUGUGAAAGCCCCGGGCUUAACCUGGGAAUGGCAUUUGGGACUGCAAGGCUUGAGUGCGGCAGAGGAGACUGGAAUUCCCGGUGUAGCGGUGAAAUGCGCAGAGAUCGGGAGGAACACCCGUAGCGAAGGCGGCACUCUGGGCCGGUACUGACGCUGAGGAGCGAAAGCGUGGGGAGCAAACAGG